RNAcentral lists this ribosomal RNA (552 nucleotides) under Lysmata amboinensis (scarlet cleaner shrimp). RNAcentral's name for it is "eukaryotic LSU rRNA". It matches the Rfam family "Eukaryotic large subunit ribosomal RNA", at positions 119 to 531 of the family's 3401-position model. Lineage: Eukaryota; Metazoa; Arthropoda; Malacostraca; Decapoda; Hippolytidae. The record is from RNAcentral.
ACCUGGCGGUCUUGUGUGGCCGUCCAGGGGUGUUGCGUUCCGGUGCGUCCUUGCCGCCCGAGUUGCUCACCGCCUAAGUCAUUGCUUGAAAGCAGCCCCGAGGAGGGUGAUAGGCCCGUGUGGCGGCGCCUGUAAAAAGGGUGAAGGUGGCUUGGGCGGGCGGACGUCCACCGUAGAGUCGGGUUGCUUAGUACUGCAGCCCUAAGCAGGUGGUAAACUCCAUCUAAGGCUAAAUACUACCACGAGUCCGAUAGAGAACAAGUACCGUGAGGGAAAGCUGAAAAGGACUUUGAAGAGAGAGUUCAAGAGGACGUGAAACCGUUAGAAGCCUAAACGGGUGGAACCGCGAAGGUUGAACGAGGGGAUUCAGGUCGCCGGUGGCCGGAGUGCGGAGGGCGGGUCAGACAUGUUUUGAGGACGUGACCCGGCGCGAGAGUGCGGCCGGGCCCCGCCGCCUCCUCCGGGCCAUCCGGCGGGCUUACUUCUCCCUCGGGAAGUCGCCGCGACCCGUUCCUGGGAGCCCCAGGGCCGCAUCGCAUUGGUAGGCCGGGC